CAUUAUGAACCAUCUGUUCGGUGCAUGUACGCACUGAAAACGCAAGUUUCUUUCCUGAAGUCGGUUGUUUGUAGAUGAAGGUGAGGACGAUCAGCAAAGCGAUUACUAAAAUCGCUAGGGGCGCAAUGAUCGUGGCUUCUCCAUUCGCUAUAUCCUUGGCAUACAGCGAAGCUAUGACACCGAUGCAGACGCACAAAACAACUACGAAAUAAUACGCUGUGAGGUAACGUCAAUCGGAAGAGAAGACAACAAAGGAGAAUAGCUAGUCUUACGGUAGCAAACGACUAGACCUCGGAUCACGAUCUCCCUUCUUUUCGUAUGCUUCGCUUUCUUCGUACCUGGAACACGGAGAACGAUAAUUUAUGUAGGUUGCUACCUGUUGAUCAGUUCAGGUCAGCGCGGGUCACGCGUGAUGCCAUUGUUACCGCAGUAUUAACACGCAAGUUGCAACGAUCGAGUAGGCGAGCAGCGUUCCGAUGCUCAUCAUGUUGACCAGUUGCGUCAGUUCGAAUAUUGCGGCCAGCACACCUGCGAACAUGUUCAAUUACGAUUGCAUGCGUACUGGUGGUAGACAAACCUGUGAGAAGUCCCGCAGAGAAGGUGCCCAUGAGUGGCGUCUGGAAACGCGAGCUGACCUUGCCCAUCCAUCCGAAUAUCAAUCCGUCCGAGGCCAUGGCGUAGAUAACUCGAGAGGGCAGAUUUACCUAGCGCACAGGCCGCAGAUAGCACCGAUCGUGACGAUCCAUUUCGCCCAGCUCCAGCCGAUCUUGUCGAAGAGAUGCGGGAAUGGUGCGUCCGGGUUCUGCUCGUAGUACGGUAGAACGGUGGUGAGGACCGUGGAGACUCCGAAGUACGCCAGGAAGACGACGGUCAACGAAACCACGAUCGCUAUUGGAAUGGACUUUUGUGGCUCCUUCGCCUCCUCGCCAGUGGUCGCCACGCAAUCGAAACCGAUGAAUCCGUAGAAGCAUGUCGCAGCUCCUGUUAUGAUGCCGGCGAUGCCAUAAGGCGCGAAUCCUCCGGUCCCGUAAUCGCAGCUGUCUUCCGUGCAUGGAGGCUUCGUUUUCCAAUUGGUUACGUCAGCUUCGGCCAUAGCGAAUUACAAAGUUGAUUAAUUACACUCGGUCGGACCAAAGAAUAAUCUUUAUUCAUAUUUCGAUGCCUUUGCUGGAUCAACAAGCGUGUUGCUGAAUUACCUUUGAACGAUCCAGCGAUGAUCACGAACAAAACCACCAGCAGGUUCACCAAGGUGAAGAAGUUGUUCGCCACAGAUGACUCCUUCGCCCCAAAGGCUAGCGCAGCUGAGAAAACCGAUUUCCGAUCAAGAAUCACAGAGGAAGAGGAAGCUAGUCUGGAUCCAUGACAAUAGAUCGUUCAUUAUGAAAAUGGUCGCUUUUGUUAUUAAAAGAAUAGAUGUAGUUCUCCUUAAAACGGAUUCUGGUAUUUAGAUUUGACGGGUGUCCAACGGAUACGGACCACUGUGGCGGGUAGUUUCGUAACGAGAAGUCCCAUAGGUAGACGCCGAUUGUUUACCCGAACGUGGGCGCUUACCGGAAAAGAUUAGAGUCACUCCAAAUGCGAAGAAGUCCGGAUAAGAGGACAGGUGACUGAUGUCGAUGGGCGCCGCCGAUUCGAACGCGUUCCUCAUCGUGUUGUUGAACAACGCGUCCACGUAGGUGCUCAAGCCGCGUACCACGCUCGCCGAACCGAUCACGUACUCCAGGAUCAGCGUCCAACCGAUCAGAAAAGCCGUGAACUCCCCCACGGUCACGUAGCUGUACACGUAUGCCGAUCCGGCUCGCGGAACUCGAGCCCCGAAUUCGGCGUAACACAAUCCUAAUUCAUGAAAAGAAACGUCUUUUAACAGUUCUGGACAGACGAAGUAGGGAAAUGUAGAGCCUGUGGAGGCGGAAGUAGAACAAUAUGUAAAAGAAAGGGCGAAGAAAAUAAAUUGAGAAGCUGAAACGAAUGCGUUAUUAAGUAGGGCAUUCGAAAAGAGGACGAUAGAACGAAGUAGCAAUUGCAGACCAGAGAAUUGUAUGUACAACGAAACUUCUUUUAAUACACUCGCGUUAGACACUUGUUUCAUUUGACAGAGAAGAAGACGUUCAUUCCUAAAGAUGGACGAUGGUCAAGACGAAGGAGUCGUCAAGGUGCUAUGAAAUUUAUUCGACUAUCGUGGAUGCAAUAAAGUGUUUUACGCGCGAGCGUAAACAUAUGAUGGGACUGCGAGGAUCAGGAUGAAGCAGACAACUUUUGAACUGUACCUGCGAACAUGGAAGCGAUCGCCGCGAUGGCGAAAGAGAUUAUCACGGCAGGCCCAGCGGUUGUUUUCGAGACCGAUCCGGCGAGCACAUAAACACCCACGCCGAGAGUCGAACCGAUUCCUAACGCCGUUAAGUCCAACGUGGUCAGACACCUCGCCAGCUUGGUGUCCUGCUGAGGAGUCACAUCCUUCUUCCGGCCGAAGGCUCUCAGAAGGUCCGCAGUUUUCCACGACCUCAUGUUGUACAACUGAAAGAAACAAACGGAAAGAGUUCAAUCUUCUUAACACGUAAUGAAGAUUAAUCCUCUGAAAGCUCCGAAGCUUACCUUGUACAGGGUGCAACUCAUCGACGAGUUCAUUUCGACGCAGAAAAUCGUUUAGCGAACACGUACGAACAGACUUGAGUUGCUAACGCGACGAUCGCACGGCCCUCGACUCUCGACUAAAGAGACGCUAAUUGAAAUGUCUUUAAAUCAAGUUGGAAGAUAUCGGUCGUCGAGUACGAUUGAACCGCGUUCAAUUGGUUGGAAUCGUUUCAUCGCCCCGCGGCUAGAUUAGAAUCGACCGCUCUGAUGGUUUGUUGAUUCUCUCCGAUAAGUUUAUCGAUCCCGAGUUAUUCAACGUUUUUUAUGGGUAUAGAUCGAAAAGCAGAUUUCUCGCUUAAUCUCAUUAAAUGCUCCAACCUUGGCCUUUAUUAAAGAAUUAAAGAAAAAUGGUUUUCUGAUCGGUUGACGUGAAUUAUUUUAUCUAGUCUAGCGAAUCGUUUACGGUAAAUGUAUAAUGUCACUGUAUCACGUGCUUUGUGACUCGUUACUUAUAGUUAAGACGGAUUGCCUGAUGCAAUGCAGUAUCGCGUAUCGAAUCGAAUUCAUCUGAAUUAUUUUCCACAUACCUACUGUGAAUAUUACUCGUCCGCGGAAUAUUCUUUCAGUUUCUCUGCCGAUCCCGGACUGGUUCGGGAAAACUAUAUUGUUAAAGACCCUACUUAUUCUUAUCUGAUAUUGAUUACUCUUUGAACAUGAUAUGUAUGUGGUACGCUGUUGAUGAUACAUCAUCCAGCUGUAAUAUCAAGAGCAUGAGGGAGACAGUAAACAGUAAGAGGAAAUUAUGUCGACGAUAUAAAAUAUGAACAUUUAUUUCUAUAAAAUAAUGCACUCGCGUUAACUGCACUCGUAGCCGCAGCAACAAAUAUAAAAUAUUUAUAAUACUAUAUACUUUGUGUCAAUAUAAUACAAAAGAAUGGACGGAUUUAUUAAUACUUUAACCCUGUAACGGCGCACUAGACUUUCUGAGACUCGUAGCAUCUUCUCUUCCUGCAUCAUGGAAUCAUUGAAAAUAUGAAGCGUUGAGAAGCGUCUUUAGUGAGAUUCUAUUGUAACAUUUCCGAAGAAACUGUGUGCUCUUCCAGGGUUAAGCAUUCUGAAUAAUCCUAACGACGUCUGUGAUACCUAUGGCAGUUCUGUGAACAUAUACAGAGUAUCUAGUUGUCGUGUCGCAUGCACACAAUUGCUUAACUAUUUUGUCAGCUUGUUCGUUGAUUGUUUUUCCACUGGGUGAAAGUCCAUGUGUUAAUCUGUUCUACUCCAUAAGUUCAACAUGUACAUCAUGAUUAUAACACCUAUUGUCCAGGAUGGGUGCAACUUCUCGACACCAGACUGAAUAAUUAAAAGAAAAUAUAUUCUAACUUGUCAAAGACAAAAGCAUUAAAGUGUAUCGUUACCCACAA
Megalopta genalis is the source of this 3992-nucleotide non-coding RNA. Lineage: Eukaryota; Metazoa; Arthropoda; Insecta; Hymenoptera; Halictidae. The record is from RefSeq and is a predicted model, not a curated record.